Molecule: long non-coding RNA, 1297 nt
Organism: Cyprinodon tularosa
Lineage: Eukaryota; Metazoa; Chordata; Actinopteri; Cyprinodontiformes; Cyprinodontidae
Exons: 3
Source: RefSeq, a predicted model, not a curated record
UAUUUCAAGUAUAUUCAUAUUUCCUAUAGUUUACUGAAAAUGUACUUAGACAAAUUGUACUUUUUGUAAAUAUAUAAAAAGUAUACUAACAUUACGCUUUCAUGCUAAUACUUUUAACACACUUUAACAUAAUUACACUAUGUUACACUUUAUAGAAAUAUAUUAUUAAAAAAGUAUACUUUAAGUGAAAGUUAUGUGUAAUUUCUAAAGUGUACUUAUUUUAAAUUUGUUUUUACAUAUAUUUUUGCUAUAUUUUAAAUUGUAUGCUCAAAGUUGUCAUUGUAACGUACAUUGAAAGCAUAUUUUAAAAGUACACAUUUUAAUAUCGACACUGUAAUAUUAAGUUUGAGUGCAUUUUAAGUUACAUUUGAAUCUAAUUAUGAAGUGAAGUUAUAUACGCUUGUACUUCAGGUAAUUCUUUUGGAAAGUGUUCAAUAGUAUAACUACAAAAAUGCACUUAAACCCUAUUAUGCAAUUUUGUGCUGUGUGUAAAGUACACAGAUAGCAAUUAUUGCAGUUGUUAUGUAAUGUUUAAUAAGUUUUGAAAAAGAAAUAUGAUACAAUACAUCUUACACACAAAACCACAUUGAACAAAACACUAAAUGUUCACUUCAAAAGUACAGGUGCACAAAAAUGUGUGUUCUGCUGAAAAGCAAGUGGUUUAAAGCUGGUGCAGUGCUACAUUAUGAUCUAACAAAUAGCAUAACCCACAUUGCAACAGAAAAGUUAAUACUGGCCAAAUGCAAAAGAAAUAAACUUAACACAUUACAAUUGUCUCAAGUGUUCAAAAAAGAACAUUUCAUUAGUAUUGUUUAAUGGAUCAAAGCAGGGCUACUGCAAACAAGACCAAUUGGUGAGUGCACAUAUUUAAAAGUCGCUGACAGCACUUCAUGCAUAUAGGAGUGAUAUGUGGAGGUUGUUUGGCCUUGAUGUCUGUAAAGUAGUAGCUCCCCAAGAAUUUUAGUCUUGGGGAGUUUUUGGUUCAGUACUGAUAUCAGAAUUCCCAUAGACUUUGAAUGCACCACACCUGCACAGCAGUUAGUCACGGCUCCUCCCUGCUCAGAGCUAGCGUGCUUUUCUUUUAAGGCCUUGGUCUGCAUGGAGAGAGAAACAGGAGAUGUAAUCGGUUGAGCAGGAAGAUUUGCUGUAUUAUUGUGUUGAAGAAUAUCCUGGCUGUUUUUUUUUUUACAUAGUUGCAGAAUCUGCUGUUACAGCUGAGCAGUUCAUUGUAUGGACUGGACUAGACUCCACCAGAGAUGUUGAUGCAGGAUGUUCCCAAUUUGAAUGCCAUCCGGUU